RNAcentral lists this ribosomal RNA (597 nucleotides) under uncultured bacterium. RNAcentral describes it as "bacterial SSU rRNA". It matches the Rfam family "Bacterial small subunit ribosomal RNA", at positions 338 to 943 of the family's 1533-position model. The record is from RNAcentral.
CCUACGGGAGGCAGCAGUGGGGAAUAUUGGGCAAUGGAGGAAACUCUGACCCAGCGACGCCGCGUGCGGGAUGAAGGCCUUCGGGUUGUAAACCGCUUUCAGUAGGGAAGAAGCGAAAGUGACGGUACCUACAAAAGAAGCACCGGCUAACUAUGUGCCAGCAGCCGCGGUAAUACAUAGGGUGCAAGCGUUGUCCGGAAUUAUUGGGCGUAAAGAGCUCGUAGGUCGUUUGUUACGUCGGAUGUGAAAACCUGAGGCUCAACCUCAGGCCUGCAUUCGAUACGGGCAAACUAGAGUUUGGUAGGGGAGACUGGAAUUCCUGGUGUAGCGGUGGAAUGCGCAGAUAUCAGGAGGAACACCAAUGGCGAAGGCAGGUCUCUGGGCCAAUACUGACACUGAGGAGCGAAAGUCUGGGGAGCGAACAGGAUUAGAUACCCUGGUAGUCCAGACCGUAAACGGUGGGCACUAGUUGUGGGAACCUUCCACGGUUUCUGCGACGCAGCUAACGCAUUAAGUGCCCCGCCUGGGGAGUACGAUCGCAAGAUUAAAACUCAAAGGAAUUGACGGCUUGAGAGUUGCGAGCGCGACGAGGAGGAG